Molecule: long non-coding RNA, 414 nt
Filed under: Nicotiana benthamiana
Lineage: Eukaryota; Viridiplantae; Streptophyta; Magnoliopsida; Solanales; Solanaceae
Description: long non-coding RNA (NBEN_LNC025322)
Source: RNAcentral
CAAUGCCUCUCUACUCUCCUUAUUGCAGAACCCUAGCCCAUCGCUUCACCAAAAUCAUCUUCUAAUCCUGUUUCUAAUGGGAUUUUCUUCCCAAUUACUUACCACUUCGAUAUGUUUCCAUUAUUGGGUGAUUCUCUACGGUAUUACCUAAUACUUUCCUAAACAUGGAAAGUACUCAUACUCUGGUUCUAUCCUAUUUGACUUUCAUCUCUUGAAUCUAGACGAUAUUGAGUCUACACAUGCUUAUUUUGCACCGUGUGAGUCCGAUUUGUUCGUAUCUUGUUGAUUCAUACUUAACCUUAAGGUUAGGGUUUACGAAUCUUCUUUUAUUUGAAUAAAAACUAAUUCGAGCUUUGAUUUUGAGUAUUAUCUCGCCAUUAUUCACCUUAUUAAGCGUAAAUCUAUCUGUUUGAG